UGAUGACCUAAAUCUAAAGAAGAAGAAGCAGACGAGAGGAAUGAGAUUAAUAAAAAUAAGAAAAAGAUACAAAAAGGAGAGCACGGGUUUAGGCACCAACCCAUGUGCUGACGUGGGAGUUAUCCGGUUCGUGGGCACCCAGAAGUUGCCAACAUGGAAACCGCCGAAAGGCACGUCACCCCGUGCGAAAGCAACGGGUUUCCAUAACCGGUCAAGUUGGGUGAUCCGCGAUAGAAUCUUACGAGAUUCCCCAGAAGGUCAUGCACUCGCUAAGAUUCCAUGCACAUGAAAUAACAGGUCACCGGGAAUCCUGCUCUAUGUUAUCCCAAAUCCUAGGUUUCUGUUCUCACAGCACCCUACGGCUUGUCAAUGUUUGACGUGGCAUUGCUGACGUGUAUAAAAUUCGACAGCCAUUCAUCAGAAUUGGG
This 428-nucleotide long non-coding RNA is filed under the name Physcomitrium patens. RNAcentral describes it as "long non-coding RNA (PPAT_LNC003287)". Lineage: Eukaryota; Viridiplantae; Streptophyta; Bryopsida; Funariales; Funariaceae. The record is from RNAcentral.